Molecule: small nuclear RNA, 110 nt
Organism: Boleophthalmus pectinirostris (great blue-spotted mudskipper)
Lineage: Eukaryota; Metazoa; Chordata; Actinopteri; Gobiiformes; Gobiidae
Source: RefSeq, a predicted model, not a curated record
GUGUUAGUUCACUAACACAUAUACAAACAUUGGAACAAUACACAGAAUUAGAUUAGCAUGGUCCCUGCGCAAGGGUGACACGCAAAUUCCUCAUGUUCUGGCAAACUCGU